GAUGAAGAACGUAGCGAAAUGCGAUAAGUAAUGUGAAUUGCAGAAUUCAGUGAAUCAUCGAAUCUUUGAACGCACCUUGCGCUCUUUGGUAUUCCGAAGAGCAUGCCUGUUUGAGUGUCAUGAAAAUAUCAACCUUGACUUGGGUUUUGUGCUCUAGUCUCGGCUUGGAAUUGGGUGCUUGCCGCUUUUACGAGCGGCUCACCUUAAAUGUAUUAGCUGGAUCUGUCUUUGAGACUUGGUUUGACUUGGCGUAAUAAGUAUUUCGCUAAGGACAUUCUUCGGAGUGGCCUCGUUUCUAGGACGCUCGUCCGCUUUCCAAUACAAGUUCCACCUCGUGGACAUGACUUUUUAUUAUCUGGCCUCAAAUCAGGUAGGACUACCCGCUGAACUUAAGCAUAUCAAUAAGCGGAGGA
This 413-nucleotide unclassified non-coding RNA is filed under the name soil metagenome. RNAcentral describes it as "partial contains 5.8S ribosomal RNA, internal transcribed spacer 2, and large subunit ribosomal RNA". The stretch from base 1 to 120 matches the Rfam family "5.8S ribosomal RNA", at positions 35 to 154 of the family's 154-position model. The record is from RNAcentral.